This 208-nucleotide ribosomal RNA is filed under the name uncultured bacterium. RNAcentral's name for it is "partial 16S ribosomal RNA". It matches the Rfam family "Bacterial small subunit ribosomal RNA", at positions 568 to 774 of the family's 1533-position model. The record is from RNAcentral.
CUCGUAGGCGGCUUGGUAAGUCGGGUGUGAAACCUCCAGGCUCAACUUGGAGACGCCACUCGAUACUGCUAUAGCUAGAGUCCGGUAGGGGAGUGUGGAAUUCCUGGUGUAGCGGUGAAAUGCGCAGAUAUCAGGAGGAACACCAGCGGCGAAGGCGGCACUCUGGGCCGGUACUGACGCUGAGGAGCGAAAGCAUGGGGAGCGAACA